CGAGGCUCCCGGGCCCGCCGGCGUCUGUGGGGAACUGGGGCGCUGGUCGGUGCGCGGGCUGGGACGCUAAGUCAUGAGGAAUUAAACUGGGAAACCUGGCGUGGGUCCAGGCGCCUUCCAGGAGGCAUCCGGCGCGGCCCGGACGUGCUUCUACCCAGAACCACCCCCUCCAGGCCGGGGUGCACUUAACGGGGCUAUACAAAGAGUCUGACACUGUUAUUGCCCAUCUGAACUCGUCAACUGAGAAGGAAAGAGAUGGUUUAUGCUGUGAAUAAAAUACAGUUGUGCUGUGAUGUAAAUCCCCUCAUCCUGGAGCAGCUGAGCAAGGUCUAAGGCAGGAAGAACCUUCAAGCAGGCAGCCUCUAGGAGCUGAGGGUGCCCUCCAGCUGACAUCCAGAAAGAAAUUGAAGCCCUAGGUUGUGAAACCACAAGGACGUGAAUUCUGC
Molecule: long non-coding RNA, 446 nt
Filed under: Homo sapiens (human)
Lineage: Eukaryota; Metazoa; Chordata; Mammalia; Primates; Hominidae
Description: non-protein coding RB1-DT:18
Source: RNAcentral